Molecule: ribosomal RNA, 398 nt
Filed under: uncultured bacterium
Lineage: Bacteria
Description: partial 16S ribosomal RNA
Rfam family: Bacterial small subunit ribosomal RNA
Source: RNAcentral
AAUAUUGGACAAUUGGCGCAAGCCUGAUCCAGCCAUGCCGCGUGAGUGAUGAAGGCCCUAGGGUUGUAAAGCUCUUUCAACGGUGAAGAUAAUGACGGUAACCGUAGAAGAAGCCCCGGCUACCUUCGUGCCAGCAGCCGCGGUAAUACGAAGGGGGCUAGCGUUGUCCGGAAUUACUGGGCGUAAAGCGCACGUAGGCGUAUGGGUCAGUUAGGGGUGAAAUACCAGGGCUCAACCCUGGAACUGCCUUUAAUACUGCCGGUCUAGAGUUCGAGAGAGGUGAGGGGAAUUCCGAGUGUAGAGGUGAAAUUCGUAGAUAUUCGGAGGAACACCAGUGGCGAAGGCGGCUCACUGGCUCGAUACUGACGCUGAGGUGCGAAAGCGUGGGUAGCGAACAG